Molecule: RNA transcript, 3060 nt
Organism: Lolium perenne
Lineage: Eukaryota; Viridiplantae; Streptophyta; Magnoliopsida; Poales; Poaceae
Source: RefSeq, a predicted model, not a curated record
CCGCCGCAUCCCGUACUUUUUCCCCUUUUUUCUUACAUCGACGAUUCCUCUAUGUUUAUGGUCGUGGGGUGCUGCCGUGCUGGGAGCUAACUCACAUUCAUCAAAUUCGGUGCGUGCGUGCGAGCGGUUGUGGGAAUCGCCGGGUGGAGUGGUGCGGCCGGCGGGCGACUAGUGUGCAUUGAGGCCGGCGGCGAGCGGCUUCAAUCGACAUUGCUGCCGGCGAGCGGCGAGCGGCUUCAUCUUGGGAAUAUGGCGCGCGGCGAGCGGCUUCAGCUGGGGAUCGCGGCGAGCGGCGGGUGUCCUCGGCCGCCUGAAUGGAUUGGGGCUUGAAGUUUCUGGACUCGGGCGGCGACGUCGUCAGCGGAAGGGCGUCGGCCUCCACACAUCACUGGGCGCCGGACGAGCGAACGCGACCGCCGCGAGCGCCUCUGGCCCGAGCCACCCGCUAUCGUCUGCGGCGGUUCCAGCGCGCCUCGCGAACUAUAAUACUUCCGCCGCGGCUCCUACAUCUGGUGCCAGUCGUCCACACCAUCAGGCAUCAGCUACUUGCGUCCGGCGAGCUCCGCAUCACUUCAUCCACGCAAUUGCUACUUGGUGGGAUUAUACGCCAAGGUGAAUCCUUUCCUGCAGCGUUAUGCUUUUUUUUGUUAGAUUCCGUCCCCAAUCGCAGAGGUGGAUCCAUUGAUCGCCCCUGGACUCCACCUGAUUGCAAAAGCACAAAACUUUCUGGCAGCCCUGGCUCCAACAACGAUGAGGAACAGGGGAAUUGCAGGGCCUUAAAUUUACUCUAGGAACUUACAAUUUGGGUUGCUUUUUCGCUAAAUUUGUUUGGAGUGCAAAGAAUUGAGGCCGUAAGUAGAUGUUCAGUUCUAGUUCUUUUUAAUGAUCAAUGCAAAUUAGAGGCCGAUUGAAUUAGCUUGUGUGCGUUUUCCUUCACAAAAUGCAAGAAACGACUGCUGUACAUUGUGCUCAUCAUGUGCAUCACUGUCCAUUUUCUUGGCGAAAUAAAGAAAGAUGCCUGUGUUUUCUGGAUAGUUUAGUUAUUAUUAUGUGGCAUCAGAGCUGCACCAUAAUUAUUGUUUUGUGAUUUAAAUCCUGCUAACCAUGUUGAUUCGAUGCUUUUGAGAUGUAAUUUCCUUUUUUUUUCUGUCAUGUAGCCGCGUUGGUGUUUUCCUUUUGCUGUUUUCGGUGGUACGAAAGCUGUGUUUGGCGCUGGCUUUUUCUUUGUUUUCCCCUGGUACUCUUCGGUACCGCCCCAUUUCUACCAAUUUGGAUGAGUAAGUGCAGGUCUUAUUAUUUCCCAUGGUUAGAUAUGUGAAUUAAAUGAAGCUCACACAUGGUUUAUAUGAUUGUUGCAAUGAAUGUUCAGAAUGAGAUAGAGAGUGUGGUUAUUUAAAGAAAAUAGUCAGAUUCCAUAUGUUGUAGUAUUUGUAAUUUUUCUCUACAUGGUCAUUUUUGUAUUAAUAAAGCCUCCACACAAUGUUAAUCUUGUUUUUACCUUAUUUGGCAUUAUAUAUUUUUCAGUCUAGCCUGCUGCAUCCUCCUGCUUUCGACAAGAUUGACCCGUCUAGCCGAUUUUGUCUUACGCUUACUAUCUUUGUAAAUGUCUUAGAAUUACUUCCUUAUUUCUAAUGCAAUUGAACUUCAUUCUGCCUUUUUUUUCUUCAGGAAUAUAUUCAACCUGUUUAGGAGGUAAAUAUUUUUUUGAUCCACCUAUAAGCAUUUGACUAAUUUAUCGCUACACCUUCUUAUUUUAACAUGGCUGGAUUUUAUUCUUUCAUUGAUGCCAACAAGGUUAUGACUUUAUUUUAUAAUGGAAUAACUUCUGAUCCUUCAUGGAAUGAAUUUUUUAUGCUCACCUUCUACACGUCAUAAUGGAAUAACUUCUGAUCCUUCAUGGAAUGAAUUUUUUAUUUUGUCUGCUUAUAUACAUACAUCAGCCACUUAUUGGUGGAACAAUGGAAAAUCAUUUUUAUGUCUAAUCUCUACUAGAGCUUACAGUUUUAUCAUAUGUGGCUAAUCCUUGAACAAACAUUUUUUUACGUUUGCUCUGCCCAGGCUUUGAUUCCAUAUUGGAAGAUCCAUAUCAUCCCUUUUUCUUAAGAUUCAUGCUCAUCUUUAACCUCUAUCUGUUUACCACUUCAUGACUUCCAUAGACAUUUGUUUAUUUACUCUCAUUUGAUAUUGAUAAUUCAUCUACAUUGUUAUCUCCAUGCUUUUCCAUUUAUUGCACACCCAUUAUGCUAUUUGGUCAUUUGCAUUUCGCCAUUUUGGCAGUAGGCCAUUAGCUUCAAGCAAGACACUACUUCUAAACUUUGCUCGAUAUUUAUCUCUAGUUGGGCGGUCAGCCGGCGGUGGAUGGCUUUGGCGCAACACAAAAUGACAACUAGAAAUAAAGGAGUACAUCUGUCCAGCUACCAAUAAAGGAAUUGGUAUGUGUGAUGGACAGCCCCCUCGGCGUGUUCUCUGUUGGCUUCAACAAUUUUAACGGCAGGUUCAGUUUUGGCCACUGCUGCACAUUCAAGGCUGACAGCGGGAAGAGGGAUGCAGCAGAGGAUCGGAAGAUGCAUUACAAUGGUCGAUACUGGAGGCUCCCGUCCCCACCAAAGGCCUCAGGCACCCAAUGGCAGUGGCGCCUUAGCUCUUAUCAGUGACUCCAGCAGUAGCGUCUUCGUAUCGGAUAUCAGCUCCCUGGACAAGUCUCUCCGGCACUGCUUCCCUACGGGACUAGCUGGCUAUCACAAUGCGGCGGAGAAAAUUCUAGUGACUGUCAAAAGAUAAGCUACGACAUGAGCUAGCGUGCAAGACAGUGACAUAAUUGUGUUCUUCAGGUGUAGUCUUUCCCAGGUAGAUAAGCUAUGGGAGAAAUCAACGCCGGAAAUCAAACUGUAAUUAGUGCCUCUAAAAGCCCUUUUUCCAAAGAUCGAAUUUCAUUGUACCUGAGUGGAAAUUAUGGUAUUUGCUACGGAAUUCUUACGUUAUAGACAUCCGAUUCAUUUCAGUUUGUACUGAAUCCUUCGGUGAACAAUAGAACAAUAUAUGUUUGCGCAAAUUUGAUUA